Molecule: ribosomal RNA, 449 nt
Filed under: uncultured bacterium
Lineage: Bacteria
Description: partial 16S ribosomal RNA
Rfam family: Bacterial small subunit ribosomal RNA
Source: RNAcentral
GACGAACGCUGGCGGCACGCCUAACACAUGCAAGUCGAACGAGAUCUUCGGGUCUAGUGGCGCACGGGUGCGUAACGCGUGGGAAUCUGCCCUUUGGUUCGGAAUAACAGUUGGAAACGACUGCUAAUACCGGAUGAUGACGAAAGUCCAAAGAUUUAUCGCCAGAGGAUGAGCCCGCGUAGGAUUAGCUAGUUGGUGUGGUAAAGGCGCACCAAGGCGACGAUCCUUAGCUGGUCUGAGAGGAUGAUCAGCCACACUGGGACUGAGACACGGCCCAGACUCCUACGGGAGGCAGCAGUGGGGAAUAUUGGACAAUGGGCGAAAGCCUGAUCCAGCAAUGCCGCGUGAGUGAUGAAGGCCUUAGGGUUGUAAGGCUCUUUUACCCGGGAUGAUAAUGACAGUACCGGGAGAAUAAGCUCCGGCUAACUACGUGCCAGCCGCCGCAGUAA